Rattus norvegicus (Norway rat) is the source of this 69-nucleotide non-coding RNA. Lineage: Eukaryota; Metazoa; Chordata; Mammalia; Rodentia; Muridae. The record is from Rfam.
GGGGAUUUAGCUCAGUGGUAGAGCCUUUGCCUAGCAAGCACAAGGCCCUGGGUUCGGUCCCCAGCUCCG